UUGAACGCUGGCGGCAUGCUUUACACAUGCAAGUCGCACGGCAGCGCGGGCUUCGGCCUGGCGGCGAGUGGCGAACGGGUGAGUAAUACAUCGGAACGUGCCCAGUGGUGGGGGAUAGCUCGGCGAAAGCCGGAUUAAUACCGCAUACGACCUGAGGGUGAAAGCGGGGGAUCUUCGGACCUCGCGCUAUUGGAGCGGCCGAUGGCAGAUUAGCUAGUUGGUGGGGUAAAGGCCUACCAAGGCGACGAUCUGUAGCUGGUCUGAGAGGACGACCAGCCACACUGGGACUGAGACACGGCCCAGACUCCUACGGGAGGCAGCAGUGGGGAAUUUUGGACAAUGGGCGAAAGCCUGAUCCAGCAAUGCCGCGUGUGUGAUGAAGGCCUUCGGGUUGUAAAGCACUUUUGGCGGGAACGAAAAGGACUGUGCCAAUACCACGGUUCGAUGACGGUACCCGCAGAAUAAGCACCGGCUAACUACGUG
Molecule: ribosomal RNA, 483 nt
Filed under: uncultured bacterium
Lineage: Bacteria
Description: partial 16S ribosomal RNA
Rfam family: Bacterial small subunit ribosomal RNA
Source: RNAcentral